Caenorhabditis elegans is the source of this 21-nucleotide non-coding RNA. The record is from Ensembl. NCBI's taxonomy places the organism in Eukaryota, Metazoa, Nematoda, Chromadorea, Rhabditida, Rhabditidae.
UUGACUCAGAAAAAAUUUCAU